GUGGAUUAGUGGCGAACGGGUGAGUAACACGUGGGCAAUCUGCCCUGCACUCUGGGACAAGCCCUGGAAACGGGGUCUAAUACCGGAUACUGAUCGCCUUGGGCAUCCUUGGUGAUCGAAAGCUCCGGCGGUGCAGGAUGAGCCCGCGGCCUAUCAGCUUGUUGGUGAGGUAAUGGCUCACCAAGGCGACGACGGGUAGCCGGCCUGAGAGGGCGACCGGCCACACUGGGACUGAGACACGGCCCAGACUCCUACGGGAGGCAGCAGUGGGGAAUAUUGCACAAUGGGCGAAAGCCUGAUGCAGCGACGCCGCGUGAGGGAUGACGGCCUUCGGGUUGUAAACCUCUUUCAGCAGGGAAGAAGCGAAAGUGACGGUACCUGCAGAAGAAGCGCCGGCUAACUACGUGCCAGCAGCCGCGGUAAUACGUAGGGCGCGAGCGUUGUCCGGAAUUAUUGGGCGUAAAGAGCUCGUAGGCGGCUUGUCGCGUCGGUUGUGAAAGCCCGGGGCUUAACCCCGGGUCUGCAGUCGAUACGGGCAGGCUAGAGUUCGGUAGGGGAGAUCGGAAUUCCUGGUGUAGCGGUGAAAUGCGCAGAUAUCAGGAGGAACACCGGUGGCGAAGGCGGAUCUCUGGGCCGAUACUGACGCUGAGGAGCGAAAGCGUGGGGAGCGAACAGGAUUAGAUACCCUGGUAGUCCACGCCGUAAACGGUGGGCACUAGGUGUGGGCGACAUUCCACGUCGUCCGUGCCGCAGCUAACGCAUUAAGUG
This 768-nucleotide ribosomal RNA is filed under the name Streptomyces thermocarboxydus. Its description in RNAcentral is "bacterial SSU rRNA". It matches the Rfam family "Bacterial small subunit ribosomal RNA", at positions 87 to 866 of the family's 1533-position model. Lineage: Bacteria; Bacillati; Actinomycetota; Actinomycetes; Kitasatosporales; Streptomycetaceae. The record is from RNAcentral.